CAGGACGAACGCUGGCGGCGUGCCUAAUACAUGCAAGUCGAACGGUCUUUCUAUGGAAGCCUGCUUCCACUGAAAAGAUAGUGGCGAACGGGUGAGUAACACGUGGGUAACCUGCCCAUAAGAGGGGGGAUAACAUCCGGAAACGGGUGCUAAUACCGCAUAGUUUUCUUGAUCGCAUGAUCGGGAAAGGAAAGACGGCCUUUGUGCUGUCGCUUAUGGAUGGACCCGCGGCGUAUUAGUUAGUUGGUGAGGUAACGGCUCACCAAGACGAUGAUACGUAGCCGACCUGAGAGGGUGAUCGGCCACAUUGGGACUGAGACACGGCCCAAACUCCUACGGGAGGCAGCAGUAGGGAAUCUUCCGCAAUGGACGAAAGUCUGACGGAGCAACGCCGCGUGAGUGAAAGAAGGUUUUCGGAUCGUAAAACUCUGUUGUCAGAGAAGAACAAGUUGGAGAGUAACUGCUCCAGCCUUGACGGUAUCUGACCAGAAAGCCACGGCUAACUACGUGCCAGCCGCGGC
This 521-nucleotide ribosomal RNA is filed under the name uncultured bacterium. RNAcentral's name for it is "bacterial SSU rRNA". It matches the Rfam family "Bacterial small subunit ribosomal RNA", at positions 25 to 518 of the family's 1533-position model. The record is from RNAcentral.